Molecule: non-coding RNA, 405 nt
Organism: Peromyscus maniculatus bairdii (prairie deer mouse)
Lineage: Eukaryota; Metazoa; Chordata; Mammalia; Rodentia; Cricetidae
Source: RefSeq, a predicted model, not a curated record
CUGUGAAGAGUAUCCUGAAACAGCGGGCCAUGGCCAGAGCCUUCCCCUAGCAGGGCUUUGCUGCAGUCAAACAGAAACCGCACAUCGACACUCGGGGCUGAGAUGACUCCAGGCUUCUCCUCCUCAAACCCUGACACCUGGCCUCCCAACCUCCACCUCUUCUCCACAUCCCUAGAAGUCAGCCAGCCAACCAGCCAGCAGGCCGGCAGCCUAAAUGUGGCCCCCGAGGAACGGCUGUGGAUCUUGAGACCGAGCACACGCCAUGCACUCAGGUUAACCGUCCAAGUUGCUUUGCCAUGGCUGACUUCAGGAAGAGAACUGAGGAACACUAGGCACAGAGUGGUUUCGGCAGAUGGGUCCAACCAUCGUUUGGCAGUGGUAGACGAUGCCCACUUAAGCCCCAAG